AUUGAACGCUGGCAGCAUGCCUAACACAUGCAACUCGAGCGAGCGGCGGACGGAUGCGUAAUGUCUGGGAAACUGCCGGAUGGAUGGGGAUAACUACUGCAAACGGUAGCUAAUACCGCAUACCAUCAGCUGUGCCCAGAUGGGAGUAGCUAGGAGGGGGGGUAACGGCUCACCUAGGCGACGAUCCCUAUCUGGUUUGAGAGGAUGACCAGCAAAAGUGGACGUUAGCAUCGGUCCAGCCUCCAACGGGAUGCAGCAGUGGGGCCAAUUGCACAAGAGGCGCAAUCCGGCUGCCGCCAUGCCGCGUGGUUGAAGAAGGACUUUGGGUUGUAAAGCACUUUCAGCGGGGAGGCGGUACCCGCAGAAGAAUCACUGGCUAACUCCGUGCCAGCAGCCGCGGUAAUAC
RNAcentral lists this ribosomal RNA (406 nucleotides) under uncultured bacterium. RNAcentral's name for it is "partial 16S ribosomal RNA". It matches the Rfam family "Bacterial small subunit ribosomal RNA", at positions 30 to 526 of the family's 1533-position model. The record is from RNAcentral.